Non-coding RNA from Clupea harengus (Atlantic herring), 471 nucleotides. The record is from the annotation of a RefSeq genome assembly. NCBI's taxonomy places the organism in Eukaryota, Metazoa, Chordata, Actinopteri, Clupeiformes, Clupeidae.
AUGGACUCCGGAAAAAAUGCUGCUAUUUAUGCAGAGUCUCUGAAAGGCCAGUUCACCCUGACUGAAGACGUCCCCCCCAGCAUGCAGUACUUAGAGGCCAAGAGUCUGAAAGCAGAGGACACUGCUGUUUACUACUGUGCACGGAGGCACAGAAUUACAGGUGAAGAGAGAAUGGAUCAGUCCCCUGCUCAAGUGAAGACACCAGGAGGGACAGUUAAGAUCUCCUGUAAAAUAUCUGGAUUUGGCAUGACAAGCUACUACAUGAACUGGAUCAGACAGCAACCAGGAGGGAACCUGGAGUGGAUUGGAGAGAUGAACUCUGGAUCAGGAGCCGUUGAUUAUGCAGAGUCUCUGAAGGGCCAGUUCACCCUGACUGAAGACGUCCCCACCAGCAUGCAGUACUUAGAGGCCAAGAGUCUGAAAGCAGAGGACACUGCUGUUUACUACUGUGCACGGAGGCACAGUGACUGA